UGAACGCUGGCGGCGUGCCUAAUACAUGCACGUCGCGCGAACAGACGAGGAGCUUGCUCCUCUGACGUUAGCGGCGGACGGGUGAGUAACACGUGGAUAACCUACCUAUAAGACUGGGAUAACUUCGGGAAACCGGAGCUAAUACCGGAUAAUAUAUUGAACCGCAUGGUUCACUAGUGAAAGACGGUUUUGCCGUCACUUAUAGAUGGAUCCGCGCCGCAUUAGCUAGUUGGUAAGGUAACGGCUUACCAAGGCAACGAUGCGUAGCCGACCUGAGAGGGUGAUCGGCCACACUGGAACUGAGACACGGUCCAGACUCCUACGGGAGGCAGCAGUAGGGAAUCUUCCGCAAUGGGCGAAAGCCUGACGGAGCAACGCCGCGUGAGUGAUGAAGGUCUUCGGAUCGUAAAACUCUGUUAUUAGGGAAGAACAAAUGUGUAAGUAACUAUGCACGUCUUGACGGUACCUAAUCAGAAAGCCACGGCUAACUACGUG
Molecule: ribosomal RNA, 495 nt
Filed under: uncultured bacterium
Lineage: Bacteria
Description: partial 16S ribosomal RNA
Rfam family: Bacterial small subunit ribosomal RNA
Source: RNAcentral